RNAcentral lists this ribosomal RNA (450 nucleotides) under uncultured bacterium. RNAcentral's name for it is "SSU rRNA". It matches the Rfam family "Bacterial small subunit ribosomal RNA", at positions 26 to 518 of the family's 1533-position model. The record is from RNAcentral.
AGAACGAACGCUGGCGGCAGGCCUCAAACAUGCAAGUCUAGGGGGUGUAGCAAUACAUCACCGGCGGACGGGUGCGUAACACGUGGGAAUAUACCUUUUGGUUCGGAACAACGCAGGGAAACUUGCGCUAAUACCGAAUGUGCCCUUACGGGGAAAGAUUUAUCGCCAAAAGGAUUAGCCCGCGUAGGAUUAGCUAGUUGGUGAGGUAAUGGCUCACCAAGGCUCCGAUCCUUAGCUGUUCUGAGAGGAAGAUCAGCCACACUGGGACUGAGACACGGCCCAGACUCCUACGGGAGGCAGCAGUUGGGAAUCUUGGACAAUGGGGGAAACCCUGAUCCAGCCAUGCCGCGUGAGUGAUGAAGGCCUUCGGGUUGUAAAACUCUUUCGACGGGGACGAUAAUGACGGUACCCGUAGAAGAAGCUCCGGCGUAACUUCGUGCCAGCAGCCGC